Molecule: long non-coding RNA, 5462 nt
Filed under: Podarcis lilfordi (Lilford's wall lizard)
Lineage: Eukaryota; Metazoa; Chordata; Lepidosauria; Squamata; Lacertidae
Source: RNAcentral
GGUGUGGCAGGAAAGGAAGGGCAACAAGCCCCCCUCUUUCUCCAUUGUCUCUUUGUCAGCUAGAAAAGGUGGUGAUGGCUGCUCAACAUGUUUUUUUUGGGGGGGGGGCUCUGUUAUGUGCAGAGAAGAGGAAAGAGAGCUGACUGUGAAUCUGAAAGAACCAUGUGGUUAUUGUCAAGCCUUGAAAUUGAGGCCGGGCUUUCUUGGCGGUGGUGAUGGGAAGAAGGAGUUUAGGUGAGGCUCCAUCUAAGGCUGCAAUCUACACAAACAUACCUAGGAGGACGUCCCAUUGGACUUCUGAACAGACAUUCCUAGGACUUCCCUGCAAGCUAAUUGAAAAGACAAUAAUUUGUGAGGAAGAAAGGGAAUUGACGCUGAAGAAGAGAAGGGAGCUCUUCCAAGGCACAGGGGAAUAAAUGGGCUUCUGGAAGUUUGUUUGCUUUUUUGAGAAUCAGGAGCUGUGGUGUUAUCCACUUAAGCUGUAAUUUUAGUUGUCAAAUCUGGCUUGUCACGCUUUUGGGUAAUGGCUUGAGGCAGCCUUUGUUUUAGAGCUGAUAAAGCAGCACUUUCAAACAGCAAGCAGCAGCCACAACAAAGUAAUCUAGCAAGGCUUGUGCUCUCCUUGAUUUCAUCCCCUCUAAGAUAUGUUGCAUUUUUACAAACCUAUUGGCCAGCCAGCACAAGUCCAAUGAAGUGUCUCUUGCUCAUUGUACAGUGAUUAUUUUCUCUCUCUGUAUACACACACAUAGACAUACACAGACACACUAAACGCAUGCAUAUACUGUACGUACAUAUAUACAGUUUCUUAUAACAUUAUAGGGCUGAAUAUUUUUUUGACAACAUGUACCAUAUUUUUCGUUCUAUAAGACACACUUUUUCCCCUCCAAAAAUUAAGGGGAAAUGUGUGCACAUCUUAUGGAGUGAAUGCAGGCUCCUUGGCUUCAGCGAUAGCAACGUGAAGCCUCCGAAGCGCAGAGGGAGCGCUCCCUCCGCGCUCCGGAGGCUUCGUGUUGCUUUCGCUGAAGCCUGGAGAGCGAGAGGGGUUGGUGUGCACCGAUCCCUCUUGCUCUCCUGGCUUCGCUUCGCUGGAGAGGCGCUGCACAGUUUUCCCUCUCUGCGCAGCGCCCCUUCAGCGAAGCAGGAGGAGAAAUGGAAGGGGCUCUGUUUCUCCUGCUGCUUUGCUGAAGGGGCGCUGUGCAGAGAGGGGGAGAAUUUUUUUCCUGUUCUCCGCCUCUAAAACAAGGUGCGUCCUAUGGUCGGGUGCGUCCUAUAGAGCGAAAAAUACGGUAGAUACUUAUCAGAAUGCAAUGUGCGUAGGCAUUUAGGCACACUUAUUUAUUUAUUUUAAAAGGUGUACACCUACAAAUGCAGAAAGGUCUUUGAAAACAGUGUGGCUUCCGGGUGAGGGUACAUUUGGUGGCAAACUCAAGUUUGGUGCUGUAUAGUGCAUGAAAUGAUUCUCAGAUUCCCAAAACCUUCUGCUGUUCUUUUAAUAUGUAGGUGGGGCUGGACUUGAACUUCCAUGGCACUUGCAGCUCCUUCUUAACAUCAUUGCCAAGAGAUGUCCUCUCUGUACAGCAAGGGGGCAUUUCCUCUGACCAUUCAUUCAUUUUUACAUCAUUAUAGUUACAUGUCCUUGGAGAAAAACUGUUGCAGAGUAUUGUCAUCACUGCAUAACAACUCACUUCUCCAUCACCCCGUUACAGCUCUCUUUUUUUUCAAAAAGAUGAUGAAGCUGAUGAAGAAAGACCCUUUUUUCAGUGGCGAUAACUCCAAAGCAACAGUUCCUUGGUAAGGAUGGGAAAGAAAGCUGAUUAAGUUUGCUUUAAAGGCAAAUCUAACAAAAAUGAAAUGAAAUGAAAUACAUACUUUUCAAAACAAUAUGCCAACCAAAGCACAGGCACCCCUUUAAAAACUCACACUUUUCAGUUUUUCAGUCAAAAAUGCAUAUAUUAAAGUGUCCAUAAAAAUGCAUAAAUUGGUGAAAAUAACAUACAAAAUGCAUUGUAUUAGCCAGGGAAAUUGCUAUGCAAAAAAUUGUUUAUUAGGAGAAAAAUCACAGUAAGAUACUGAUUAAUAGUCACAAUGUCUGUUUUUUUAAUUUAAAAAAUGCAAAUGGUUGCAGAAAUGUGGAGAACUCACUGAAAAAAUUGAAAAAUGAGAAAUUCAGACAAUGGAAAUUGAUAGAUGUAGUGCACAAUUUCAUCUUUAGUAUGAUUGCGCCCCUAUCUCAUGGUGCCAUCAGCGGAAAGCUUCAAGACGAUGCCUCAUUCUGCAGAAUGAACAGGAGGCCCACCUAACAGAGCAGGGCGGGAUUACUGGGCUUUGGAGUAAGUGAGCUAAUAUACAUAACCAUCUGAAGGGGGGAGGUAGGGAGGUGUUUCAGUCAUUUUGUGGUCUGAAGAUUAUGGUUCUUUUGGUUUUAGAGACUGUUCUGUUCUAGUAGUUGGGGGAACAGCAACACAUGCCCUGACAUAUAAAUUAGUACAUUAAAAUGUUACGCAGAUUUGUUUCUUAUGGGGCUGUGACCUGAAUCUUUUACGUACCCAGGAAUGUGCCUCCCACACACCCCAGGAGCAUUGCCAGUGCCAGCACAGUGAAAGCUCUUCCUUGACCGACUGCUGCUCAGUUGCUGGUACUGGAUCAAGAAAGAUGGUGGGAACUGAACCUUAGUGGGAAAACUGGUACUAACUGGACUUCAUAGAGGGCCCCCCAACUUCAGAUUUCCCUUUGUCUCUUUGCCUUUUACAUGACCCAGAAACUCCACCUCUCCUUCUGCUACCUGUCAUUGCAAUGCUGCAAGAUGACACAUGUUCUCACAUGUCUUACACUUUGGGAAGAGUGUGAUUCUGUAAUGACAAAUACAAGGAAGUACUAAUAACAUUAAAUAGUGCAAUGAAAUACAUUGUGCAAAGCACAGCAAGAAAGGCUGCAGACACAACAUAUAUUUAAAGCAUGUUUCUGCUGCCCCACCCCCAAAGAAUAAUGGAAACUGCAGUUAUGGAUGCUGGGAACUGUAGCUCUGUGAGGGGCAAUCUAUAGUUCCCAGGAUUCUUUGUGGGGUGCUUUAAAUGUAAUGGUGUGUAUUGCAAUUUUCAAAAUUAGAUUGGGUGGGGGAGGCAGGGACAGCACACACAGAGAGAAUGUGGCCUGUGCUUCUAACCAUAACCAGAUCUCCACUGUGGUCCAACCAGAUCUUCAUGUGAUUAUUCACAUGCAAGUAAAUGUUACAGCCAUAAAGUGAGAGUGAUGGUGAACUUCUCAUGCUAACAGGAGCAGGCAGGAGAGGGGACACGGCAAUAUAUACGGUACUCCUUUUAGCAUAGGAAGCUAACUUCCAUCCCACACUAAUAAAUAUAGGCAGGUUCUGGUUUGGCCCUGAAAGAAAAUGAUGGCACCAGUCACUUAAUACGCAGGAGCAGAAAGCAGGUAACGCCCAUCUCCCUGCUGUGCUCAGUGCAGAGAAGCCCUGGCAAAGCUGCUCUCAAAGACAGUACAACAAUUUAAUUGAGGCAGAAGUGCCUUCACUUUGCAACUAAUCUUAGACCAAUACUCCCUAGAACCUCAGUUCCACAUUGGUCCCCGCUAGCCUAUAUUGCAGACUUGAGGAUGUAGCGAAUCGGCUGGGGCUUGGUACCAAUAGUACAACGAGUAUUGAAAGGAGGAGGAGGAGGAGGAGGAGACCUUGCCCAAUUCUUGCACAUACUGAUGCACAGAAUUUAUUUAUUCAUUAUAUUUGUAUUCCCCAGAGGUAACAAAUACAGGUGGCUUCCAGAUGUUUUAGGAUUCUGCCAGCAGGGCCAAUGGUCAAGCAUGAUGGGAAUUGUAGUCUAUAAUAUCUGGACAGAACCAGGUUGGCUUUCCUCAUACACUCCUUGUCAACAAUGUCCUUAAGCUGCCAGAACAAAGAAUGUACCCAGAAAUUCAUGGCAUCCUAUGUACAAGUUCUUGAGAUAUUUCCAAACAGAUAGGUUAUAAAGAUAGUGCUCUCUCCCUCCCUCCCUCCCCCCUCAUUUUUCAGUGAAAUAUUCUGAUUAGAAUUAUUUCCUUUCCACCUUAAUGUUUUAUUUUCAAUUUCCUUGGAACAAAUUUCCAUGCAAACAUUCGUAACGAAUGUGGUAUAAUGCCUGGCCUGUUUUCCCUCCUGCUAAACCCCACCUCUUCUCUCAGUUCACAGAUAUUAGUGCACCAGGAUCUUCUAAGCCUGCCAAACCCAGCUUGCUCAUUUCUGCUUGCAUUAGUGACUUCACAUUGCUAGCUGUGUGAUCCAGGCAAAACGCCAAAAGAAUUGCAAGAUGGUCGCUUGAGGGUAAAAGAUCAAAGCGACUUUCAGAAAACUUUCCUCUGCUUUCAGCUCCUUCUAGGCUUGUCAUGGAUGUUUGUCAUAGCAGGAAUGUGUCACUCAUGUGUUAUCACACACGUUUUAGUGUAAUGCGGGAAUUUAUUGCAUCCUUCUGUCAAUCCAGUCGUCAGCCAGUGGCUCACUGCUAAGGUAAAUAUAUGUUGAAACGGAUCAACUCUUCAGUGAUUCAUUAAAUGACAUUAGCAUACCAAACGCCUUAGCAUUUCAGUCUGGGCGUUGCUAACUGGGAAACAGUUGCUUAAUGCCGAAGUUUAGUCAUACAUGGUGACCCAGAUGAUUCUUUGAUUUACAUUAUGUGACGUCCUUUGAAACAUGUGACUGGGAAAGCAGCAGUCUUACGUUGCAUUGUGCUUAUGGGUGUGAAACCACACUAUGAUAAGAGCAUAUUUCAGCCUGGGAAGAGGAGAUGGAGGCAGAGACUUGGUUGAAGUCUGGUCCUAUUCAGGUUUACUUGGAAGUAAAUCCCACAGGAUUCAAUGGGACUGGUGCAUCAGGGCAUCAUAUCACAAUCUCUGCCUGCCAUGCACUUUUUUCUCUAGGGGGAAAGAAAAAGAUGAUGUCACGAAGCUGUCUCCCUGCCACUAGUCCCCCUCGUCUCCAGCAUUUGUGGCUGUCUUCACAAAGAGGCCAUUUGUGGUUUGCUCCUGCAGUACCUUCUCUCAGUGCUGCCAGAGCAAAUAGGGAGAUACUUCCUUGCAGAGGCAGCCACAGUUCAUGCUGAGGUCCAGACAGGGAGGUGUGGAGGGGGACACAACAGUUGCUUCUUCAUUUCCAACCCAGACAGAGUAUAAGAUGACAACAAAGAAAAGUAACCCUGUGCACAGUUACAUGGGAGUAAUUCAAUACGACAUACAUGCACAUAAGACUGAGGUGCUCUACCAGCCAAAAUAUGGGUUGUUGGACCCUUGAUCAUUGUGCGUAACCUGGUGUUUAUAUAAACAGGAGCACAAGAGUGACCAAAAUUUGGUUUUGAACUGUUCCUUCUGAUACGGCACCUUUCCUGAGCUUUUUGUGAAAAUGGUUCUCCGUGCCAUAAUAAAGCAAUAAAGUCAUCACAGGAGAACUCUAGCAUUUUCCAAGCAAGUGCCAAUCAGACCCC